Molecule: long non-coding RNA, 557 nt
Filed under: Coturnix japonica (Japanese quail)
Lineage: Eukaryota; Metazoa; Chordata; Aves; Galliformes; Phasianidae
Description: lncRNA (ENSCJPG00005017687.1)
Source: RNAcentral
GUGAUUGUAUUGUUUGCUUUUUUUUUCCGGCCAUCAUGCCAGCUGCCAUCUCAGAUACCUUUGGGUCUCUGGCAGGAUUGUUUGGAAAGGAGUAACGUUGGCCAUGAGUCUGAUGAGAGACUGGUGUGAUGGUGUGAGUUGCCCUUUGGAUUACAAAAGAGAAAUGAAAUCACUGGCACAUGCUGUUGCUGGCAGUAGUUGCUAGUGCUUUGAUGGAUGUCAAUACAUUGGACCAUGCUUCCAUUUUACAUAGAAAAUUGCAUCUUCUCCCAGAGCUCAUUGUGAUCUGUGUUUAAGUGCCAGAGGAUGAAUGGACUCUGCCAAAUUGAGAGGACUGUAGAGAGGAUCCUGGGAGCUACAUCCUACAAGCUGUGUCAUAUAGCUGGAGUCUCAAAUUCAUUCUGUGUGCUUUGCCUGCUGGAGAGUCUGGAGCCAUGGAACAGCAGAUCACCUGAGAAUAAACCCAAGCACCAAUAAAAUUUUGUGUUUACCCUGGAUGUCUUGAAAUACCAUGGCUCCCAGGAAUUACUUUGUUGUUUUAUUUAAAGGGUAUGUAC